AGUGAACGCUGGCGGUAGGCCUAACACAUGCAAGUCGAACGGCAGCACAGUAAGAGCUUGCUCUUACGGGUGGCGAGUGGCGGACGGGUGAGGAAUACAUCGGAAUCUACUUUUUCGUGGGGGAUAACGUAGGGAAACUUACGCUAAUACCGCAUACGACCUACGGGUGAAAGCAGGGGAUCUUCGGACCUUGCGCGAUUGAAUGAGCCGAUGUCGGAUUAGCUAGUUGGCGGGGUAAAGGCCCACCAAGGCAACGAUCCGUAGCUGGACUGAGAGGAUGAUCAGCCACACUGGAACUGAGACACGGUCCAGACUCCUACGGGAGGCAGCAGUGGGGAAUAUUGGACAAAGGGCGCAAGCCUGAUCCAGCCAUACCGCGUGGGUGAAGAAGGCCUUCGGGUUGUAAAGCCCUUUUGUUGGGGAAGAAAAGCAGCAGGUUAAUACCCCGCUGUUCUGACGGUACCCAAAGAAUAAGCACCGGCUAACUUCGUG
Molecule: ribosomal RNA, 492 nt
Filed under: uncultured bacterium
Lineage: Bacteria
Description: partial 16S ribosomal RNA
Rfam family: Bacterial small subunit ribosomal RNA
Source: RNAcentral